AUGGCGAAGCUGUACGUGCAGGCAGUGCCCCCGCCGGAUCUGAACAAGAACAUCGAGUGGUUCAUGUACCUGGGGGUCUGGACCACCCACAUCUUCAUCCUCUUCGUCUCCUGGCUCCUCAUCCUCUCCAUCUUCAGCUGCACCCCCGGCAUGGCCUAGACACUCGCCAACCUCGGCCACUUUGCGAUUGAAUCUUCAUUUCGGAUUACAUACCACUUCUUCCACUGGAAGAAGGGAACUCCAUUCGCUGAUGAUCAGGGGAUGCAUAAUAGGUUGACUUGGUGGGAGCAAAUGGACAACGACAAGCAGCUUACUCGCAACAGAAAAUUUCUUGUUGUGGUUCCUGUAGUCCUCUAA
This 357-nucleotide ribosomal RNA is filed under the name Triticum aestivum (bread wheat). Its description in RNAcentral is "partial small subunit ribosomal RNA". The record is from RNAcentral. Lineage: Eukaryota; Viridiplantae; Streptophyta; Magnoliopsida; Poales; Poaceae.